CAUGAAAUACAGCUGCUGUAUACAUGUUACUGAUGGUCCUGCCCCUUACCCUCCCAGCUCCCCCUCCCACCCUUUGACUUUUCAUAUUAGAAUGACCUCUGGACCCACACCAUAAGGGCUACACAGUGGUCACAGGGCCUUCUGAUGAUCAGUGACACGAAUGUGUCAUCCAGGGCUUGUGGCUGGGACACUUCAGGCCAUCAGGUAUGAUGGGAUGGGAGUUUCCCACUCUUCACUCUUUUUUUUUUUGCUCCCUCUUCCUUACUGCUAGUAGAAAAAGAGAUGCUUGAGCAGAACCACUUAUUGCAGUUAUGCUAGGAGCAGUUGUCACAUUAGCAAGAUAGAGGUUGGUUGGUCCCUUGUUGACAUAUCAAUUGGAAGUAACUCU
RNAcentral lists this long non-coding RNA (388 nucleotides) under Bos taurus (domestic cattle). Its description in RNAcentral is "long non-coding RNA NONBTAT017583". Lineage: Eukaryota; Metazoa; Chordata; Mammalia; Artiodactyla; Bovidae. The record is from RNAcentral.